Long non-coding RNA from Vidua chalybeata, 524 nucleotides. RefSeq lists it as uncharacterized. The record is from RefSeq and is a predicted model, not a curated record. The transcript has 2 exons. Lineage: Eukaryota; Metazoa; Chordata; Aves; Passeriformes; Viduidae.
GCCCAGGUUACCUGAGCAAAUUCCCAGAUGAAACCUUGCUCACAAAACACAGCUUGGAGCUGCCAGUCCAGCAUUAAGCUGCCAGGAAAGUGCUUCCUGCCUUGGUACUGAUGAAUAUUUGAUCACAGGCACCUGAGCCAGGUGAAGACUCCUUGACCUCUUCUAGUAGGAAUUUAAUAGCUUUUUGGAUUGGUAUCUGGGCCACCAAUCAUACCUAACACCUCUUAUUAGAUGUAGCAAACAGCUGAUGAGCAGUGAGAAGGUGACGCGUCUGGAGCCUGUCCCGAAACUUAUGUGGUUGCUGAUGCGACCGCAGAAUGGAGGUGAAACAUUUCUCUUCUGGUUUCACAGGACCACAGGCUGGCGGCUACACCUGCCUUCCUCGCACCACCAAAAAAGGAUCCCUGUAAGAUUUCUGGGCUGUUUUCAGCACAACGGGGACUUUAGACCCAGAUUUUAGUUCUUUGCUGCUCUUCCCCUUGUGAAUUGAAGGUGCCUCGAUAAACAUUCUGAAAGGUCAGCUA